UAACUUCAUAAGUUACUUAAAAAGUUUAACAACGGAGAUCGGAUAACUAGUUAAUUGUUUUUAAGUUAUAGAUAAAACAUUUUUUAGCUAAAAAUUCUUACUGCAUUCUUGACUAACUUAUACUACUUCUUGACUUUCAUGUACCUGGCCAACUGGGUACAACUGCUCGUGACAAUAGAAAUGAAAUGGUGAAUGGUCUAAUCCAAAAAUGCAAGCUCACAACCUAUGUCUUCUGAAGCAAAAUCAUUUCUGUUGCAGUUGUAAAUCUUCAAGAUAUUGAUGCCUUCGCCAGAUCUAAUUCUUUGAUGCUAUCUAUUUUGCGACAACAGCAAGAAAAUGCUGCUACUCAUAAUUUUAUGGUUACCACUUACCACCAGUCACCACUUUGUUCUAAUUUAGGACAAGGUUUAUCUUGUAUGUUCGCGUAUUUGCUGUCCGCUGUGGUACGUUGUUUCAGCCUAUGCUGGUGAUAGAUCUUUCUGCAUCAAAUUCAAUUAGCCGUUCCUUAGUGCUGCUGUCGUGUUACCAAAGUUACAUAAUUAUUUAAUGUAGUUCACAGUUAAUAUGUUAAGAAGGAACAAAAAAGAAAUAUCCGGAUGCUUAAUUGUUUGUGUCCAACAAGUAAUAAACAUGUUUUCGGGAUUGGGAAAGGAAAGUGGAGGAUGUUGGAGGGAGGGGGUAAUUCAAGUUUGGAUAAAAAAGUUAAUUUAUAACCCUACAAACUUUUCCCUACCAAUUCUUCAAGCCCCACAAACAUACACCUUUUAAUCCUCAAAAUUAUACCCUAAACCACGUAAACCAAUGUUAAAGCCAAAAACAAUGUAAUGCAAAAUGAAUAAAAAAGUUAUAUUUCAA
This is a long non-coding RNA of Daphnia pulex (common water flea), 855 nucleotides long. RefSeq lists it as uncharacterized. The transcript is spliced from 3 exons. Lineage: Eukaryota; Metazoa; Arthropoda; Branchiopoda; Diplostraca; Daphniidae. The record is from RefSeq and is a predicted model, not a curated record.